Molecule: small nucleolar RNA, 102 nt
Organism: Tupaia belangeri (northern tree shrew)
Lineage: Eukaryota; Metazoa; Chordata; Mammalia; Scandentia; Tupaiidae
Source: Ensembl
AUCCCUUUGUGGUUCACAAGCACGGUGAUUGGGCGAUCAGAUGAUUGUGUGAGAUGCGCCUCCUUUAACCCUUGUUAUGAGAUCAGCAGAGUACCCAUGACU